AACCCAUAGUGAGGGCACCUUCUCAAUAAAUCCUUAUACCUCUCCCCUGCAUCAUAUAGAGUCUCUAAGUCCAUUUCCAUGAAGGAAGAUAUAUCAUUCCUUAGCUU
Non-coding RNA from Gossypium arboreum, 107 nucleotides. The record is from Rfam. Lineage: Eukaryota; Viridiplantae; Streptophyta; Magnoliopsida; Malvales; Malvaceae.